RNAcentral lists this long non-coding RNA (2833 nucleotides) under Homo sapiens (human). RNAcentral describes it as "non-protein coding lnc-EOMES-3:1". The record is from RNAcentral. Lineage: Eukaryota; Metazoa; Chordata; Mammalia; Primates; Hominidae.
CAGAUUUUAGAGGAAAUAAAAGACAUAGGAUCAUUCAAGGUGCACCCACGCACUUGGGGGUUAACUGCCACAACAUUUAAUAGUGUACCUCAGAAGCAGUUGCCAAGUAUGGACUCACAUAAGGUGGACAUACACUGACCUGAGAAAUUUCUCACUACUAAUGAAAAGAAGCCAGGAAGUUAUAAUACAUUGCUGUAGGCAGCCUCUAGUGUUUUCCUAAUUUUGUAAAUUCAGAAUUUAAUUUUCUUGUUUUGCUUAGGGUUUAAUUUUUAUCAAGUGGAAUUUUUUAGGUACACAUAUCACUUUAUCUUGUGGUGAGCACUUAUCAGUUGUAAGCUGAACAGAUAAUGUUCAUAGCCUUAGGAUGUAAAAUAGGCAACAUAUAUAAUUUAUACAGCACUAACAGAAGGCUUUUCAGGCAAAUAACAAACAAAAAGGAAAAUGAAGAAAUGUUGACGAUGAGAUUUUCAGUAUUGGAAACUUAAAAUUCUGUCUUGCUCUUGACUCCUGGUCAUUCAUUUCUUUAAGCAUUGCAUGUGUGUGCAUGCCUGCUACAAGCCAGGCACUGAGCUAGGCACCUGAGAUAUAGCAGCAAAUGAAGCAGAGGAUGGUCCCUGCCUUCAUGGAGCUUACAUCCUAUUGAAGGUUGGCUAUCAUCACAUUAUGUUUAAUGAGUCAAGAGUGGUGCCAAGAAGGAAGAUGAAUCUGGUGCUUACCAUCACUUAGGUCCUUUUUCAAGAUUGUCUUCUUAAGGCCACUGAUUCCUUCUUAGCUAGGAAGGAAUAAAUGCGUUUAAGUAGGUAGCUGCCACCAGGAGACAAGGAAAACACAGGUAAUUCUGUUUCUUAAAAUAGUUAGGAUUUCCUGAGGCACGGAAAGCUCAAGUUAAAAUGCAUUAUAUGUGUUUUCCAUGAAAAAAUGCUCAUCAUCACUGGCCAUCAGAGAAAUGCAAAUCAAAACCGCAAUGAGAUACCAUUUCACACCAGUUAGAAUGGCAAUCAUCAAAAAGUCAGGAAACAACAGGUGCUGGAGAGGAUGUGGAGAAAUAGGAACACUUUUACACUGUUGGUGGGACCAUAAACUAGUUCAACCAUUGUGGAAGACAGUGCGGCGAUUCCUCAAUGAUCUAGAACUAGAAAUACCAUUUGACCCAGCCAUCCCAUUACUGGGUAUAUACCCAAAGGAUUAUAAAUCAUGCUGCUACAAAGACACACGCACACGUAUGUUUAUUGUGGCACUAUUCACAAUAGCAAAGACUUGGAACCAACCCAAAUGUCCAUCAAUGAUAGACUGGAUUAAGAAAAUGUGGCACAUAUACACCAUGGAAUACUAUGCAGCCAUAAAAAAGGAUGAGUUCAUGUCCUUUGUAGGGACAUGGAUGAAGCUGGAAACCAUCACUCUGAGCAAACUAUUGCAAGGACAGAAAACCAAACACCGCAUACGUGGAAAUUGAACAAUGAGAACACUUGGACAUAGGAUGGGGAGCAUCACACACGGGGGCCUGUCGUGGGAUGGGAGGAGGGGGGAGGGAUAGCAUUAGGAGAUAUACCUAAUGUAAAUGACGAGUUAAUGGGUGCAGCACAGCAACAUGGCACAUGUAUACAUACGUAACAAACCUGCACAUUGUGCACAUGUACCCUAAAACUUAAAGUAUAAUAAAAAAUGCAUUAUAUGUGUUUUUUAUUAAAAAUAUAACCACUUAAUAAAACCAUCAUUCAAGCCAAUUGCUGACCUCUAAUAUAAAAUUGAAAUCAAGUUCAGACUACAUAAAAACUUCUAUGUACCUAUGUACAGUCAGACGCUUUUCGACAAAUAUUCGACUAUUAUCAUUUGAUUCUUAAUAUAACCCUGGUUUUCUGCCUAACUGGCAUAAAGAAAUCUAGUUGCUCUGAACUCUUUAUUUAACUGAAAAGCAGUACAAAACACAUCCCAGACAGGAGCACUGACUUCCCUCUUGAGCAAUUUGUCACGGAAUUGCUUACCACUGCUGGAGGUGCCCCUGCUGAGACUCUGAGCCACUUCUCAGAUUUCCCAGCAGAAAAGACAAAGUUGUCUCCUGAAGGUUUUCUCAUCAUAUCCUUAGACAAAAAUUCUAGUCUUACCCAGGAUAAAUAAUCUCAAUUGUAGAAUCUUCUGUGAGGUCCUUUUGAUUUGUGAUUUGGGUCUUCUGGGUCUCAUUUUCUUUUUCUUCCACUACAUUGCACAGAUGUUUUCUAAUUAAUUUCUUACAGUCCAAGUCAUUAUUUUACUCAAGAUACUGGUUUGUCAUUUCUCUAGAAUCACCAAGACACUUUGUUAGCACACCAAAUCAGUGGAAAAACCCUGAGCUGAGAUGGUCACAUGUAACUGAUAGCAAUGGUGUUAUGCUUGCUGUUUGAGCCAAUGAGAUAUUUUCAUGCCUUAUGUCUGUUUCCCAGCCCCAACCCCUCUGCCAGGAGAAGCUAUAUGCUGCUCACCUGUCAAGUCCUCAUAAGUAGAAAUCACGAACUCAAGGGCUAUUAACUGAAGAUGCUCUGUUUUCUGGAGUAGGAAUGUAUACACAUACACAAAUGUGUGUGUAGUCCUGCCUCCAGAAUAGCUAGGACUACAAGUGCAUGCCACCGUGCCCAGCUAUUUUUUAUUUUUUGUAGAGACACGGUCUUACUACGUUGCCUUGGCUGGGCUCCAACUCCUGCCUCAAGUAAUCCUCCUACCUUGGCCUCCCAUCUCUCAAGUCCCCAUAAGUAGAAAUUGUGAACUCAAUGGCUAUUAAAUAAAGACAUUGUGUUUUCUGGGGUAGGGAUCUAUACAUACACACAUAAAUGUGGGAAAGUUGGGGGAGCCCCUGAUAGCU